Molecule: small nucleolar RNA, 71 nt
Organism: Neotoma lepida (desert woodrat)
Lineage: Eukaryota; Metazoa; Chordata; Mammalia; Rodentia; Cricetidae
Rfam family: Small nucleolar RNA R38
About the family: snoR38 is a C/D box small nucleolar RNA conserved across yeast, human, Arabidopsis and rice. It is encoded in the intron of elongation factor-1 gamma in both pombe and cerevisiae. snoR38 guides the methylation of 2'-O-ribose sites in 28S rRNA.
Source: Rfam
UUGGGCCGAGGGUGAUUUGAAGUUAUCCCUGUCUGAAGAGUUGUGAAGAGUUGUGGUUUACUGAGGCUCAA